This 758-nucleotide unclassified non-coding RNA is filed under the name Bombus terrestris (buff-tailed bumblebee). Its description in RNAcentral is "misc RNA ENSBTSG00005022166.1". The record is from RNAcentral. Lineage: Eukaryota; Metazoa; Arthropoda; Insecta; Hymenoptera; Apidae.
GUCGUUUUCAAUCACGUUUAUAUUUAAUAAUGUAAUCGUAUCGUAAUUGCCGAAAACGAAUAUCAAACUAUCUGUGACAAUCACGGUCAUCUCGAACGUCUUUCCAGCGGCAGCCUCGAAAGAUCGGUCGCAGCGUUGCCUUGUCGCAAGCUACAACUAUAUCGAUGUAUAUAUAUUGUAGAAGUUUUGGACGGUUGCUUGGAUAUCAAUCGGGCAGCUCCAUUAUGCAUCACGAAGCUUACCCCAGCCAGCUCAAGAAUAAACGUCGAGGAGGGUGUUAGCCUGAGUUCACCACAUAGGGGAAAGUUUAAGUAUUUCAAGGCAACGAAUAUUAUAUUGGAACGUUGAAUUCAUGCGGUCUUAAUAAAUCGAGUAUAAGACGUUACCAGCGAAUCAACUCGAUAAAUUAAUCGAAUUUCGUCAUAAUUUAGUUUUCAUCGUUAUUAAAUAGAAAAUACACAGUCAAAAUUGACCUAUCUACAAUUACGUUAUUAUAUACUUUACUUAUGUAUAUAUUUUAUUUUAUACUUUCGAUCAAAUUUAAAAUAAAUUUCAAACAAAUUCCAAAUCUAGGUUGUAAAGAAUUUAAGACUACGAAAACUUUUUUCUUGCGUUUUUAAUUUCAAGAUGUCGCUUUUUCUAGAAAUUUUAUGAAAUUGACGUAGAAAGAAAGAAUUACCAAAAUACCUACAAAUGCAUUACAAAAUAUUUUACAUGUUAUUACAUCUAAAAAUGCGAUUGCCACUAAUUCUAACAUA